Anopheles coluzzii is the source of this 3184-nucleotide long non-coding RNA. RefSeq lists it as uncharacterized. The transcript is spliced from 3 exons. NCBI's taxonomy places the organism in Eukaryota, Metazoa, Arthropoda, Insecta, Diptera, Culicidae. The record is from RefSeq and is a predicted model, not a curated record.
CCAUCCCCAAACAACGAUCUUAUUUGUAGCGUAUGGGCGAUGUACAGACGAGAAAAAUUAGUUUCAAUGCUGAAUUUUUGUUAAUAUGUGAGCUAUUCAUCUAUCACAGUGGUUACAACUUUCCCCCCCAAGCAGGGUACAUGUACGAUUUCAUUACCUUUUUACAAGUAAAUGAGCGGGGCCCAGCGUGGCAACCCAUGGUGUUUAGCGAAAUUUUGAUCAUAAAUUCAAUGAGGGGAAUUCUCCACUGGCUGAAAAAAGGAUGAAUUUCAAGCACCAACGAUUGAAAUAACAUGUGUGUACGGCACCAUAGAUCAUCACCUUCCACUGUGUCGUCCCUGGUCCUUCGUGUAGCCAUGUGGAGAGGAUAGAUUUCAUACACUCCAAAGGCCUUUCCAUAAAGAAUAGAGGUAGAGUGAGCGAGAUAGAGAGAUAGAGUGAUAUAGAGACAGAGAGAGAGAGAGAGAGAGAUGGAGAUGGAGCAAAAAAUAAAGAACAAAAGUAAAAAGAGAGAGCGCGCGCGAGAGAGAGAGGGAAAUAAAGAGAUCACUCGAUCGACUAGUUGCCUCUCACAUAUACUGCUUCCAGAUCCUAUCCGUUGUAUAGAGCAAAGCAAGAACAGAUGAAUGAACAAAAAAAGGAACCACAUGCGGUUAAGGCCAGCACACAUACACAGACACACUGAGACUGUUUGAAUUGAUCGCUCCUUUGUGGGUGUGUAACCUGUCAGGGUAUAGGCAGGUAAGGACCGAAGAGCGAACAGUCUGUUCGUUUUAAAGUUAUGAAUGAAAACCCACACACCUUCCCAGAGCUGCGCUAGCAGUAUUCAUUCUGCUACGCGUGUGCUAGUGGAGCAGCGGCGAAAAGGGCGUUUGCUGAGGCAGCAAGGUGGUGCGUAAACGGUCUGACCGCGCGUCAGCAAGAUAGACUAAAGUGGGGGUUCCAUCGUCCCACUCAAGAUGACAUAAAGUCGCAUUGAGUUUAGCCAAGACGGUGUAGCAGCCGUUGCAAAGAAAAUAGUGUAAACAAUUAUCAGGCAGGUAUGAUAAUUGACGGGAUGGGCUAAUAUUGUUGUUAAAUGAUAUGCUAAUACAAUAUUGUUUACUAAACUAGCAGCGUUGAUUCGAUUGCCAAAGUAUUUAUUUAAAAUUUAUAAGUAUAAAAUAAAGCCCAAAAGUUAAUGAAAAACGAAAAGCAUUAUAAUUAGGUCUUUUCAAGAACAAUUAUUAAAAUUUUCAAGAACAUUAAAUUAUGAUGUACAAGUACGAGCAUAUAAGUAAAACUAAUAUAUUUAAUUAUUCUUCUAUGUAGCGUAAUGUCCAAGCCGACUUGUAUAUUUCAGCUUAAUUUCGCAUUUCAACUCUCAAUUUUACUCGUUACCAUCGAAUGUUUAAAGCGAUAGUGCUAUCAACGAAAUAACUACGUGCUGCAUAAGGAAUUGCAGCUACCGCGGUCACAGUUACUACGGUCGUUCCAUAUUCGUGCAAACUAAACUCCAAAAAGAGUUUUUUUCGCGAUCUGUAACGGUAGCUCAAAACCCUGCGCUAUCGUUAUUCCCUUUUUAACCUCUUAUUAGCUUCGAGUUUCUACAUAAGUUACACGGAGCAAAGUAUGUGUACGUUCAUCCAGACACCUACACACAUACACGCUGCCUUGGUAGAUCAAAUUCUGGCUUGAAUGCUGUCCUGGUUCCCAUCCCUUGUUUCCACUUGCAUGCAUCUUUUGAUGCUGAUGUUUGUUGUCAUCUGUUAUUUGGGAUUUAUGUCUGCUUUACUUUCCCUUCACUUUUGGUAGCCUGACUUUUAGUUCUUUUCUUACGGUCUUUUACAACGCUGGCCUAUCGUUUUUCUCCCAUCAUCUUCCCAUAUCCUCCUUUUCCUUGUCUCUUUUCCGCGCAUCUGUCUCCUUUUAAAAUUGCUGCUCUGUCUUUUUUUUCUUCUUGGGAGCCUUUUGUAGACUUUCUCAUUUGUAUGUGUUAGUGAUUUGUAAUACUUCAAUGUCUUCACACAGUCUUCUUUCAGUCGCAGAUUGAACAGAUGCGUAAUAAAAAUAGACACAAGAAUUGAGAAGGAUAAGUGAAAUCAGCAAUCAUCCACUGGUGAUUAAAGGCAUGUUACAUUAACAUACACAAACAUAUAAGCGCAAGUGAAUUUUGUUUGAAAUGUUUCACUUAAUAAAUCAAGAACAGAUUAUUUUGCACCGUAAGGUAUCAACAUAGCGACUCGUAAAAACAAUAUCCUAGCUCAUCGAUUAACGACUAAAACUACGAACUACAAUCAAGAAUUAAGACAGAAUAAAAAUGAUAACCACCCAAAUAGCCAAAAUUGCUUAAGCAGCCAAUUUCGGCAAGCUAAAGAUCGCUGCUAGAAUUCGCCUUUUGCAGUAGAUAAACGAGUAGAUACAGGUGUCCCCCGAGAUACGACUGUAUUUGGGACCGAACAAAUUUCCCAAAGGAAGGCGUAAGUCGAAAUAGUCGUAUGUCGAAUAUCUGUGAAUAUAAAGUUUAUAACUGAAAUUGAAGAGUCGGAAUCUAUGAAAUCGUGUAUUUUAUUUAAAAUAAUGUACAAUAAUGUAUUAGUUUCCUCCAAAAGCCGUUUACACAAUAUAGAUAUUCAAGACCGGGGAGUUGCAGAAUCUGUGGAAAUGUAUUUGUAACGAUUAUCAGCAAAGAAAUUAAAAAAAAAAAUACAUCAAUUUCGUCUCAAUGACAACUUCUAAAUGUCAAAAUCAAAAUCGUCGUAUCUGCGAAUCGUCGUAACUCGAGGGGGUCGUAACUCGGGGGACGCCUGUAAUAUUAAAAUAGCCAGCUCGAACUCCAUAGUUGAUGUGGGGCUGUUUACCGAAAAAUCGUUCCGAUGUCGUACUUUGUGGGUGAUUAAGAGAUGAAACGGUACUCUUUGGAACCUCGCGGCUGUUUAGCCUGAUGAGUAUGGUUCAUGAUGGAACUUGAAGGCUUGUUAAGAAAGCGUACCGAACUUGGGGGAACUUUAUAGAUUUUUAAUGCAUGGCAUCGGUACAAGGUGGCUCUUGUCAAAAUGUCAAAGCCACACACCGUCUCGUGGUUUGUGCUCCAGUUAGAUUAGUUAUUUGAUACAAUAAUAUUAAGUGAAGUGGUUUUUUCUUAACUGUGAAUUCUUUAAAAUUCUGUAAACGUUAUGAACAUUUACAGUUCACAAAUAACUAC